GGACUACAAGGGUAUCUAAUCCUGUUCGCUCCCCACGCUUUCGCUCCUCAGCGUCAGUGACGGCCCAGAGACCUGCCUUCGCCAUUGGUGUUCUUCCCGAUAUCUACACAUUCCACCGUUACACCGGGAAUUCCAGUCUCCCCUACCGCACUCAAGCCCGCCCGUACCCGGCGCGGAUCCACCGUUAAGCGAUGGACUUUCACACCGGACGCGACGAACCGCCUACGAGCCCUUUACGCCCAAUAAUUCCGGAUAACGCUUGCACCCUACGUAUUACCGCGGCUGCUGGCACGUAGUUAGCCGGUGCUUAUUCGAAAGGUACACUCACCCCGAAGGGCUUGCUCCCAGUCAAAAGCGGUUUACAACCCGAAGGCCGUCAUCCCGCACGCGGCGUCGCUGC
This 400-nucleotide unclassified non-coding RNA is filed under the name Bifidobacterium adolescentis. Its description in RNAcentral is "contains 16S-23S intergenic spacer region". Lineage: Bacteria; Bacillati; Actinomycetota; Actinomycetes; Bifidobacteriales; Bifidobacteriaceae. The record is from RNAcentral.